UAAUACGAAGGGGGCUAGCGUUGCUCGGAUUUACUGGGCGUAAAGGGCGCGUAGGCGGACAGUUUAGUCAGAGGUGAAAGCCCGGGGCUCAACCUCGGAAUUGCCUUUGAUACUGGCUGUCUUGAGUACGGGAGAGGUGUGUGGAACUCCGAGUGUAGAGGUGAAAUUCGUAGAUAUUCGGAAGAACACCAGUGGCGAAGGCGACACACUGGCCCGUUACUGACGCUGAGGCGCGAAAGCGUGGGGAGCAAACAGGAUUAGAUACCCUGGUAGUCCACGCCGUAAACGAUGAUUGCUAGUUGUCGGCACGCAUGCGUGUCGGUGACGCAGCUAACGCAUUAAGCAAUCCGCCUGGGGAGUACGGUCGCAAGAUUA
RNAcentral lists this ribosomal RNA (375 nucleotides) under uncultured bacterium. RNAcentral's name for it is "bacterial SSU rRNA". It matches the Rfam family "Bacterial small subunit ribosomal RNA", at positions 521 to 896 of the family's 1533-position model. The record is from RNAcentral.